Molecule: long non-coding RNA, 837 nt
Filed under: Sus scrofa (pig)
Lineage: Eukaryota; Metazoa; Chordata; Mammalia; Artiodactyla; Suidae
Description: lncRNA (ENSSSCG00070019859.1)
Source: RNAcentral
CACGGAACCCGCCGCGCCGGCGCGACCCCCUCCCCCAGAGCCCUCGGGUGGCUUCUCCCGCGCCCUCCCGGGAUGCUCCUGCCGGCCGGGCCGACCUCCGCGUCCGCAUCUCUCUGGGGGGGGCGAGGGGACGGGACCGAUGCUCUCCUGUCCAAGGGGCCAGGUCCUCCCAGGGCCCGCCAGAAGAGCCAUACCCAACCCCACCGUCUGUGGGCAAGGCCAGCAGACCCUCUGCCCACUCGCAGGCCAGGGCUCACGACCCGAGGGCGCCCAGAGGGAGAGGAGGCCCCUUUGUGUGACUAAAUUUGGCAAGAAUAUGGAUCCGAGCCAGUCUUUCCACGUGUGCUCCCAGCUCCCAGCUGAGAAGGCCAAGGGUUCUCUUCCGGGAGAACCAGUUUGGCUAUUAAGGGAACCUCUCAGCACAGUGCAGAGCAAGAGAAAAAGCAAGAUUUCAGAGAGAAUAGCUGUUUACCAUCAAAGCGAACUGGGUUCCACACAGACAUGGUAUAUUAUACACAGAAACGAAGAAUUAUAGCCAUCACAGCUGUGUGCAGUUUAUGUAAAAUUCUGGGCCUCUGCACUGCACAGCCUUCCUCUACCUGGGACACCUUUCUUCCCUUGUGGUCCUAGAUAAGACCCACUUAGUUAUCUGCUCCUCUGCGAUGCUUUCCCAGUGUUGCAGGUAAAGCCUCACCCCCUCCUUUGUGCCAUCACUUGACUUUAUGCUUCCUUCGGUGUAUUAUUACAGAUAGCAUACAGUAUUAUAAUUACUUUUAAAGCAAAGUGUUUUUUCUUUUUCUUAUUAAAGAGAACUGAAUAAAGUGAGAGAAUUGGCCA